GUCAAGAUAAUGACUGUAGCCGGAGAAGAAGCCCGGGCUAACUUCGUGCCAGCAGCCGCGGUAAUACGAAGGGGGCUAGCGUUGCUCGGAAUUACUGGGCGUAAACGGAGCGUAGGCGGACAUUUAAGUCAGAGGUGAAAUCCCGGAGCUAAACUUCGGAACUGCCUUUGAU
This 172-nucleotide ribosomal RNA is filed under the name uncultured Brevundimonas sp. RNAcentral's name for it is "partial 16S ribosomal RNA". It matches the Rfam family "Bacterial small subunit ribosomal RNA", at positions 460 to 631 of the family's 1533-position model. Lineage: Bacteria; Pseudomonadati; Pseudomonadota; Alphaproteobacteria; Caulobacterales; Caulobacteraceae. The record is from RNAcentral.